Molecule: ribosomal RNA, 298 nt
Filed under: uncultured bacterium
Lineage: Bacteria
Description: partial 16S ribosomal RNA
Rfam family: Bacterial small subunit ribosomal RNA
Source: RNAcentral
AUUGAACGCUGGCGGCAUGCUUUACACAUGCAAGUCGAACGGCAACACGGGGGCGAACCCUGGUGGCGAGUGGUGAACGGGUGAGUAAUACAUAGGAACGUAUCCUGAAAUGGGGAGUAGCUCGGCGAAAGCCGGAUUAAUACCGCAUACGAUCUACGGAUGAAAGCAGGGGAUUCGCAAGAACCUUGCGUUUCUGGAGCGGCCUAUGUCUGAUUAGCUAGUUGGCGGGGAAAAGCCCACCAAGGCGACGAUCAGUAGCUGGUCUGAGAGGAUGAUCAGCCACACUGGGACUGAGACA